RNAcentral lists this ribosomal RNA (440 nucleotides) under uncultured bacterium. RNAcentral's name for it is "partial 16S ribosomal RNA". It matches the Rfam family "Bacterial small subunit ribosomal RNA", at positions 338 to 795 of the family's 1533-position model. The record is from RNAcentral.
CCUACGGGAGACAGCAGUGGGGAAUAUUGCACAAUGGGGGAAACCCUGAUGCAGCGACGCCGCGUGAGGGAAGAAGUAAUUCGGUAUGUAAAGCUCUAUCAGCAGGGAAGAAAAUGACGGUACCUGAGUAAGAAGCCCCGGCUAACUACGUGCCAGCAGCCGCGGUAAUACGUAGGGGGCAAGCGUUAUCCGGAUUUACUGGGUGUAAAGGGAGCGUAGACGGCAGUGCAAGUCUGGAGUGAAAGGCGGGGGCUCAACCCCCGGACUGCCCUGGAAACUGUACGGCUGGAGUGCAGGAGAGGUAAGUGGAAUGCCUAGUGUAGCGGUGAAAUGCGUAGAUAUUAGGAGGAACACCAGUGGCGAAGGCGGCUUACUGGACUGUAACUGACGUUGAGGCUCGAAAGCGUGGGGAGCAAACAGGAUUAGAUACCCGUGUAGUC